Long non-coding RNA from Brienomyrus brachyistius, 1317 nucleotides. RefSeq lists it as uncharacterized. The transcript is spliced from 3 exons. Lineage: Eukaryota; Metazoa; Chordata; Actinopteri; Osteoglossiformes; Mormyridae. The record is from RefSeq and is a predicted model, not a curated record.
UUCUCCACAUCCCAGCUGUGACCAGUCUCCCCACAGCUGGCCUCCACAAUGGGGUCCUUCGAGAAAUAGAGUAGCACCAGGCCUUGGUGAGACAAGUCUGCCUAGACAGCUGCUGGCCGCCCUGAGCUGAGGCAGCGGAGCCAGUUCCUUUUGCCGCCGUCAAGCCGGCACUGUGGAAACAAUCGAGGAGCCCCCAGGGUGGGUGAAUUGGAGGACGCUGUGGAGGUGAGGGGCUCACGCAUGCCUUACCUCACUGCAUGCCAGCGUGUGAGAUGCCCUGGCACGUGACCCCACUGCUGGCUCUUCCUCCACCUCGGCACGUCCGCCACGGAGCUUCCCAUUGGCUAGAAGGGGAUCGGCUCCCGGCUGGAGGUAACUGUCCCUGCAGUUUAGAGCAACACCACACAUGCACCAUCAGCUGCUCACGCUGUAUUUUUGUGUAACCUAGGUGACCCCAUGCUGCAGGAAUAAAUAAUGCACAUUUUCUGGACAUUCAAAAUGUACAUUAUAUGCAUUAUAUAAAAAAGAAACAGUUUCACAAAACUUUGCGAAUAAAGCAAAUUUAUGCUGAGGCCAGUACUGUACCAGUCCUAGCAAUGUGGCACCCUAGGGGAGCAUCAUCGCCAGCGCCCCCUGUCUGAGGGUAAGUGAAAUUGGCUGGCAAGCCAGCGCCCCCUGAGAAGGCGGUGCCUUAGGCAGCCGCGUAUGUCACCUGUGGAAUUGACCAACUCUGGCUGAUACAUUUCUGAAUAUUGUACCUCUGCCCAACACACAUAGACAGCGAUCGAUCGCUAUAAAAACUUUCCUCCGAGUGACAAUGAGUCUUUACCUGUGCAGCGCCCCUCCGUUUUUGGUGCAGUGUACAGUAAGGCCUCUUUCAGCAGGCAGGGUGUUAUGAUGGCCAGUAUGGGUUCCUGGGCCUUCUUCACCAGCCACACACAUUCUCCAGAUACUGCUCCUCUGUGUUGGGAUAUCAUCAGAGUUACAAAGGAGCCUCUGUGAGGGGUAAAUGUUUUCUUUAUGAAAAAAUCAAGCCCUCCCACUAACAAGAGUCCGAAUGGCUAACUAAGCCCGUAAACAGCACACUUUCAUCUGACCAGAAUCCAGAGCUUCAGAGCAGCAUGUUGGAGCCAGAAAUGGAAAAGCGAAGCUCAUUAAACUGGGAGUGCCGGUUAGACAAAUGGGUUACUCUUUACUUGAGGGGUCACAAGUACUUAAUAGUCACUCUGUUACUACUGAAGUACAAAUCAUGUACAAAUAUAGUAAAAGACGCGUCAUGGUUCAUUAAUGAUGAAUAAAUAUGAGAUUGGUAUUUAA